This is a non-coding RNA of Delphinapterus leucas (beluga whale), 723 nucleotides long. Lineage: Eukaryota; Metazoa; Chordata; Mammalia; Artiodactyla; Monodontidae. The record is from RefSeq and is a predicted model, not a curated record.
AAGACUGAAGCUUUUGCUCAGACUUGGGUUCAAAACCCCAGAGUCAGUGAGAACCUCCUCCCAUUUCAAGAUGAAUUCAAGGACUACAGCCCUUCCCAAGAUUCCAGCCAGUUGAGACUGUGGACCGCUAUGAAAAUGUUCCCUGUGGGCAUUUCUCAUCUCCAUUCUCUUUUUAAAGACGUUUCCAGGAAGGACUGUGAUAUAAUUCCGUGGAAUAGCGCCAAACAGGGUGGCUGGCAGGUAAAUAGAGAAGAGGUCUUUUGGAGCUCCUGCAAUGAAGCCUUGCGCGAGAAGGCCCAUGUGGGGAAAAUGAAUGACUUCAGCCAAAGCAAGAAGCACAGUAUUAUUCUGGUAAAACAGAGUCUGCCGUAGGGCACGUCUUUGCCUCCCCCCUCUUCUGCUGGACCCAGUGCAGGGAGCAUGUGGUGCUCGGGAAAGGCCUUUCUGGAAGGGCAAACCACAAGAAUGCAGUCCUGCGUGUUGCCUCCUGAGCCAAUCAGGGCAGCGAUGACUGGCCCACAUGAACGUGCAGAUUGGUUCUGCUGUUUAACAACUCAUUCUGGGAAUAGAUACUCCUGUCAUUGCCAGGCUAGUGGUGGGAGUGAGGUUGGGGACUGAUUUGAAGUUUGGGAUUUCAAGUUCAUACGUGGCCAACCCAGGUUGGACAGUGUGUCCAGCUUUGCCCUGUUGGUACCUUGUUCCUGCCCUGUAUAUACAAUUCCU